RNAcentral lists this ribosomal RNA (612 nucleotides) under uncultured bacterium. RNAcentral's name for it is "bacterial SSU rRNA". It matches the Rfam family "Bacterial small subunit ribosomal RNA", at positions 8 to 612 of the family's 1533-position model. The record is from RNAcentral.
AGAGUUUGAUGAUGGCUCAGAUUGAACGCUGGCGGCAUGCUUAAUACAUGCAAGUCGAACGGUAACAGAUUCUUCGGAAUGCUGACGAGUGGCGGACGGGUGAGUAAUACAUAGGAAUCUGCCCAUGUAGUGGGGGACAACUUGGGGAAACUCAAGCUAAUACCGCAUAAUUCCUACGGGAUAAAGAGGGCCACUGCUUGCAAGCUCUUGCUACUGGAUGAGCCUAUGUCGGAUUAGUUAGUUGGUAAGGUAAUGGCUUACCAAGACAGCGAUCCGUAGCUGGUUUGAGAGGAUGAUCAGCCACACUGGGACUGAGACACGGCCCAGACUCCUACGAGAGGCAGCAGUAGGGAGUAUUGGACAAUGGGCGCAAGCCUGAUCCAGCAAUGCCGCGUGUGUGAAGAAGGCCUGCGGGUUGUAAAGCACUUUCAAUUGGGAAGAAAGAUUAUGAGUUAAUACCUUAUAAUAUUGACGUUACCAAUACAAGAAGCACCGGCUAACUCUGUGCCAGCAGCCGCGGUAAUACAGAGGGUGCGAGCGUUAAUCGGAAUUACUGGGCGUAAAGAGUACGUAGGUGGUUAAAUCAGUCGGAUGUGAAAGCCCCAGGCUUAA